AUGAGAAACACUGCUUCUCAAGAGUGGUGCGUGCGUGUGUGUGUGUGUGUGUGUGUGUGUGUGUGUGUGUGUGUGUGUGUGUGUGUGUGUGUCUGUCUGUCUGUCUGUCUGUCUGUCUGUCUCUGUGUGUGUGUCUGUCUGUGUGUGUCUUUGUAUGCCUGUAGGUGGGUGACUUUCUCAGGAUUCCUAACUUGAUUCAAAUUAUUGUUGAGUUUAUGUAAAGAAUUCAUGUCUAUACAGAAGAACAAGUGUGUUCGUUCACCCUAGGUUACAAUGGUCUCCAUUUCAUUUCAGAGGAGAGAAUCAGGCUAUCUGAAUAUAAACACAAUUUGAUGUUAAUUUAUUCUAAGUACUCUGGGAUUUUGAUUGUCCUAAAGAAUUCUGCUCUGUGAAUACCAUGUUAAUUUUUUUUUUAAUUUGUGGCAGGAUUGUAGCGAAUUAUUUAAGGAAAAUAAAUUACAUGAAUGCUU
RNAcentral lists this long non-coding RNA (470 nucleotides) under Rattus norvegicus (Norway rat). RNAcentral's name for it is "long non-coding RNA NONRATT023256". The record is from RNAcentral. Lineage: Eukaryota; Metazoa; Chordata; Mammalia; Rodentia; Muridae.